This 237-nucleotide long non-coding RNA is filed under the name Nicotiana benthamiana. Its description in RNAcentral is "long non-coding RNA (NBEN_LNC039885)". The record is from RNAcentral. Lineage: Eukaryota; Viridiplantae; Streptophyta; Magnoliopsida; Solanales; Solanaceae.
GGUCAGUGUCUGCAACUCCUUAGCCUCUGUAAUGACGUUAACUUUACUUUCUCAAGAACUGGGCAGUACACUAAGAAUUUUCUGACAAGCUUGUUUCUUGGAAUACUUUCACCAAAAGGGUGAAGCUCAUAGAGGAUGGAGGUGAAUCGAGUAUGCAUAUCUUGGAUGGAUUCAUCAUCUUUCAUUCUGAAGAGCUCAUAUUUUGUUGUGAGCAUAUCAAUCUUGGAUUGCUUCACC